Molecule: long non-coding RNA, 1021 nt
Organism: Asparagus officinalis (garden asparagus)
Lineage: Eukaryota; Viridiplantae; Streptophyta; Magnoliopsida; Asparagales; Asparagaceae
Exons: 3
Source: RefSeq, a predicted model, not a curated record
UGAAGCUUCAGAGAUUCACUUCCAGUGACAACGAAGGAAGCAAAACGAAAGAUUAGUUUACAAACCCAUCAAAUAAUCUCUCUCACGCUAUUAAAUUCCGAAAUUUACCUUUGAAUGAAUGAUUGGCAUUUCCAUACAUUUGUUUUUGAUUUAAUAUUGAAAUGUUGUUGAUUAUGAUCUUUAAUUUAGUUGUUGAGGUUGUUUGCAUUCACUUUGAAUUGAAAUUAUUAGGCAUGUUUAUGUGAUGGUCUCAACAGGCUGGAUGAUAAUAGUGGUUGCAAAUAAGGGGUUCUGGUUGAUAUUCGGGAGAAUAAUAGUUUGAGAAAGUCGUGACCACUAGAGAUCAGGCGUAGCUUCCUACUAGCCGAAUUUUGGUUUGAACUUUUGGCUGAGAGGCGUUAUAUGGAGGGUCUCUUCAUUUUGGUGUUACCUUCAGCACAAUUUGUUUUGUUUUAUAAAAAUGCUUAUAAUAGUGAGCUUAUGGGCUGUAAGUACCGAUCAUAUAUAUAGUUGCUCUGACUUCUAUCAUCAGCAGAUUUAUGAAUAUUUAAAAUAAACUAUGUGAUAUGAAGUGCCAGGCUUGACCCGUGCAUAAGAUUUGUCUCGUGUACGGGUCGUUGCUGUCGCGCACCCCCUAUUUUAUGAUAUUCCGCUGCAGUUUCGGGGCGUGACACCCACGAAUCAUAGAAACGUUUGGAAAGGAAAGAAAACUUCUAAAGAUAAGAUAUAACUAAUCCUAUCUCUUUGUAACCAAACCGACUAAUGAAAAUCCCUCAAUCUUAGGGAUAUCCUACUCAAACAACAACAACAACAACCAAGUCUUUAUCCUAAAUGUUUGGGGUUGGCUACAUGGAUCUUAUUUUUAAAUUCCAUUCUGUUAUGGGUCAUCUCCUCCGUUAAGUUAGUCUUAGUCAUAUCCUUCUUAAUUGCUUCUAACCAAGUCAUUCUAGGUCUACCUUUAGAUCUCCUAGCCCCAUUAACUCUAAUAUUAUCGUUUUUUUCUAAUCGAUGCACUAAGGGG